UUGCCUCCUGGGAUUCAGCGGCGGACGGGUGAGUAAUGCCUAGGAAUCUGCCUGGUAGUGGGGGAUAACGUCCGGAAACGGGCGCUAAUACCGCAUACGUCCUGAGGGAGAAAGUGGGGGAUCUUCGGACCUCACGCUAUCAGAUGAGCCUAGGUCGGAUUAGCUAGUUGGUGGGGUAAAGGCCUACCAAGGCGACGAUCCGUAACUGGUCUGAGAGGAUGAUCAGUCACACUGGAACUGAGACACGGUCCAGACUCCUACGGGAGGCAGCAGUGGGGAAUAUUGGACAAUGGGCGAAAGCCUGAUCCAGCCAUGCCGCGUGUGUGAAGAAGGUCUUCGGAUUGUAAAGCACUUUAAGUUGGGAGGAAGGGCAGUAAGUUAAUACCUUGCUGUUUUGACGUUACCAACAGAAUAAGCACCGGCUAACUUCGUGCCAGCAGCCGCGGUAAUACGAAGGGUGCAAGCGUUAAUCGGAAUUACUGGGCGUAAAGCGCGCGUAGGUGGUUCAGCAAGUUGGAUGUGAAAUCCCCGGGCUCAACCUGGGAACUGCAUCCAAAACUACUGAGCUAGAGUACGGUAGAGGGUGGUGGAAAUUUCCUGUGUAGCGGUGAAAUGCGUAGAUAUAGAGGACACCAGUGCGAGGCGACCACCUGGACGGAAUACUGACCCUUGUAGGGGGCGUAAAAGCCGUGUG
RNAcentral lists this ribosomal RNA (694 nucleotides) under Pseudomonas aeruginosa. RNAcentral describes it as "bacterial SSU rRNA". It matches the Rfam family "Bacterial small subunit ribosomal RNA", at positions 78 to 766 of the family's 1533-position model. The record is from RNAcentral. Lineage: Bacteria; Pseudomonadati; Pseudomonadota; Gammaproteobacteria; Pseudomonadales; Pseudomonadaceae.